This 339-nucleotide ribosomal RNA is filed under the name Triticum aestivum (bread wheat). Its description in RNAcentral is "partial small subunit ribosomal RNA". The record is from RNAcentral. Lineage: Eukaryota; Viridiplantae; Streptophyta; Magnoliopsida; Poales; Poaceae.
AUGGACGUCCUCACAACCUUGGUGAUCAAAGCCCAAGAGAUGAAUGUUGUUAGCAAGAUGCCGGGAUGCACGCCGAUGCAGAGACUCUCGCUGUACGUAGAUGAUGUUGUUAUGUUCAUAAGGCCAUGGAGAUCGGACCUCUGGUUUUUCCAGGAAGCUCUCAGUAUCUUCGGGGAGGCCUCGGGUCUCAGGGUCAACUUCACUAAGUCAUCAGCAGUUUUAAUCAGAUCGGAUGAGGCCGAUGAGGAGCUGGUACGACAGGCGUUGUCGUGGAAGCUGGAGCAGUUCCCCAUCAAGUACCUGGGGCUGAAACUGGGUAUUAAGCAGCUUACAAGAUAG